Molecule: ribosomal RNA, 255 nt
Filed under: uncultured prokaryote
Description: partial 16S ribosomal RNA
Rfam family: Bacterial small subunit ribosomal RNA
Source: RNAcentral
ACAGAGGGUGCGAGCGUUGUUCGGAAUUACUGGGCGUAAAGCGCGCGCAGGCGGCCCUUUAAGUCCGUCGGUCAAAUGCCGGGGCUCAACCCCGUUGCAUGCCGAGGAUACUGGAGGGCUGGAGACACGUAGAGGCAAGCGGAAUUCCGGGUGUAGCGGUGGAAUGCGUAGAGAUCCGGAAGAACACCGGAGGCGAAGGCGGCCUGCUGGGCAGUAGCUGACACUGAGGCGCGACAGCGUGGGGAGCAAACAGGA